Long non-coding RNA from Drosophila arizonae, 2500 nucleotides. Lineage: Eukaryota; Metazoa; Arthropoda; Insecta; Diptera; Drosophilidae. The record is from RefSeq and is a predicted model, not a curated record.
CGUAGCUCACAAGUUUUCUGCGAUUCCCAGGAAAUUGAACUUAAAAAUUUGCUGAAAUUGCAACUGUUUCGCUGAAAAUUUAGAUUAUCAAAGAAAUCCAUCCACCCGCCAUCAAAACAAAACAAACACAAAGCAAUUCACUUAACUCCGGAACUUAGGCGCUACUUAAAAAAUGCUCAAAUCAAAUCGAGAUGUAAGCAGCAAAUAAUUUCAAGGCGUGACGAAACAUGUUGAAAUGCACAACUCGGUAACCGCCUCUGAUCGACAGCAACUUGUGCGGAAACCAGCGACGGCCGGGACGCGUGCAACACACUCAGCUCGAAUCUCUCUCUCUCUCUCUCUCUCUCUCUCACUCUCUCUCUGGUUCUCCGGCUGGUCUUGUACACGUUUUUCUACUCGCUGCGCUAGCGGGUGCCGCGCUCAGCUCUGCUCUGCUCUGGUUUUUUUUUCCUUUCGUCUUUUUUGACAACUCAACUGACGCAUUGCCCAAUGGGGGAGGUGGCGUGCUGUGGGUGUGGGUGCGCGUUGCGCCUUUGGCUAUGCCUGCCACAACUAGCACAAAUGCAGCGACUCACACGGCGACAUCAUCAAUCUAAAAAAUGUUGAAAAAUCUCAGUGGCUGUGCAGGAGAAGGAGAAUGAGAAGGAGGAGGUGGAGGGGACACGGGUCUCUGGUAUUUGGUAUGUUUAAAAUGCAUGUUAAAUGUCCAUGCCUUUCGCUUUUCAACUGGAUAUUUGAUGGAGUGGCGGCGCUACGAAAGCAUUUCAUGGGAAAGUGUUAUAAUUCAAAUGAUUCGUUCAGUCAUUGUAAUUGAUUUUUAUACUCUGAGUGAGUGAAGGGUAUGUUGAGGCUUAGAUUUAAUUUGACUAUAUCGCUGGUGUGUUGACCUGAAAACUCGUGACGGAUAAUUAAUAAGAGAUUAAAACUCGUUGUCUCUGUGAUUAAUGUGUUUCUCAUGACCUGAGAGGAAGGAGAUAUAUGAUUAACAUAGCUUAUGAGAAUCGCAAAGAAAGGCAGUGGGUCUGAGAUAUGGAGAUCGAACAGGCAAAAAAUUAGUGAUAGGAUGGGAACUAUAUAGCGAAUGUGUGUAGGAUAUUCAUUUCCAGUCAUCAAACAAUAAAUGAUCAAUGGAACAAGCUGAACUGUAUAUAGAAGCUAUACCCUCCACUCAGUGAUUCGCCCAGCAAAACUAAUUACAAAGCUGAACCACAAAGCAAGAAUUUACCCAAAAUGAUUUUGGCACAACCGAAAAGCUGAAACCAGCAGCCGCAAUCAACAGCGCAGGAGUAAACGCUGCAUAAAAAGCAGGCGGCAGCUACAACAAGAACUGGUGGAAACCAACAAAACCACUCGACAUGUCAACUGAAAUAGAAAUGGAGACGCCAGCACACGGAGCCGUAGACAAGGUCUAACUUUUUGGCUCUGGCUGGAGUGACAUGAAAAGGACAUGUCACACCGUAUGCGCACAUUAAGUGUAGCCACAAUUUAUCAAGCCGCAUAAAUCUAAAUAGAGUCUGGGAGAGUUGGCAGUCGCUUGCAUGGGCGCAUCAAAAAGUCAAAAAGCUAAUUUGCAUUUAAAAGGACAGCAGCAAGAGCAGCAACGGAGCGGACCAACAAUGAUGCUGACGUAGCCGCCAUCACAGCCAUCAGGGCCAUCGCCUGGCCAUGCAUGCAAAAUAUUUUAAGCAAUAUUUUCAAUUUAAUAAGCCAAGAUAAAUGAAGGGCAGAGCAGAAAGUGGAGGGAGGACCACACCACAGGCGGCAAACGAGCCAAAAUUUAUAUAUAUAUAUAUAUAUAUAUAUUGCUAUGUAGAUUUGAGCACACACUCAGAGAGUGAGUUGGCAUAUGUGUGGCCCGUGUCCAUGUGCUUAUUUGCAUAGUUUGGUAUGCUUUGGCAAUUUUUGUCAAUAUGCCAUGCACUUCAUCAAACUAGACGACUCUGGGGCUCACUGCUCUGCUGUGCUGCGUCGAUAAGACGUCUUUUGUGUGCCAACUCUUUGGUGGCUUACAGCUGAAGUGAGAUAAGUUAAAUGACUUUGCAUAUUUAGUCACAAUUCAUGGGACACGCUUUAAAAUUGAAUUUGACUCUGAUGCAUAAAUAAGCCGGCCGAGAAUUCAUAACAUUAUAUUUUACAAUUUAUCAAGUAAUUCGAUUUGAGAGAGCCAAAAUCGCUUGAAUUGCAGCCUGAUGCCAUAUAGAUAGCCAGCUCAGGCAAAUUAGCCUGUAAUCAAAUAAGUUAACGAGCAGUAAACAACUGACAAUUGAUGCAUAUAAUUGCACUUGCUGACAAAAUUCAACAAUUGGCAAAAUUUUCAAACCUAAUUACGUUACGACGACGAGGAGUUGUAUCAAUGCCCGUUGCUUCCAUUGUCGAAUGACAAUCUCAGAAUCGCCGGAGUCAUCCAGUCUCCGACUAGAGAGGGAUUGGCUACCAGUGCAUCGUUAAAAGUAUUAAAUAUUAUGAAUYAUCGAUUUAUAUGCUGGAGAAUAUCAGGAAU